CCGGGUGAUCUUAUGGUUUUUCCACAAGGGAUGUUGCAUUUUCAAAUUAACACUGGUAAGGGAAAAGCAACUGCUUUUCUUACUUUUAGUAGUGCUAACCCUGGUGCUCAAUUACUUGAUCUUCUUUUGUUUUCGAAUAAUUUACCUUCUCAAUUGGUGGCACAAACUACUUUCCUUGAUCUUGCACAAGUGCAGAAGCUAAAGGCACGUUUUGGUGGAAGAGGGUAGGGAUAUGAUAUUGUUUGGUCAUGAUCAUAACCCACUCUCCUUGUGUAAAUGUUUAUUCCAAUAAUCACCUAGUGGUGGAUUUGAUUGUGUGUCUGUGUUAUUUUAUUUUAUUCUAUGUUUUAGCUAUUCCAAAUGUUAUGAUAUAUGGUUACUUGUGAUAAUGAAGUAAUAAAUUGUGUGUGAUACAUUUCUUGGUUCCUCUUUCUAUCUCUCAACCUGUCUCCUAAUUUUUUUGUUGAAUUAUGGCAACAUUUAAAAUUGAAUUGAAGAUUGAAUGAGCACGACCUGGAGAUUAUGAUUUAAUUAGCUCAAUCACUUGAAUCACAAUUGAACUAAAUGAUUAAUCUAUAAAUAAAAAAAGUAAUUGCAAAAACAAAUCUUAUUAAAUUAUUACGAUUCAAUCGGUUCAACCUUAUUCAAAAUGACUUCGAUGCGACUAUGAUUUCUAACCCAUUUUAUUUUAGAUUUAACUAGUUGAACUAAUAAUUUAAUAGAAUAUGCAACUUAGACUUAUUUACCAUUUUUGGGUGUUAGAAGUUAGAAAAUUUUACAUGAUGUGGAUAACAUCACAAUACAAUUCAAAGUAGUGGGCUAUAAUUUAUGAGAAAUGAUAUUUGAACAAUAAUUUUUAACAACUUUUGUGACAACUUUAUCUCUCAUACUCACAUUAAUUUUUUACUCUCUCUCUAUUGCUUUGGUUUUUGUGUCACUAUCUCAUUUCUUUUGCAAAAUUUUGAUUGUCACAAAAGUUGUCACAUGUAUGGAUGUUCAUAUAACACAACUCAUAAUUUAUUCAUUAAAACCUUACUUAUAUAUCAACAAGCAAAACUAGGCGUAAGACGAUUGAGUCAGCCUCUACUUGGUAGUUGGUUCUAAUCUCAUUGCCAUUGCUUCGGUGCAUCAACCUCGAGAGUGUGGAAACGGUAAAUUGGUUUGCGAGUACUGAUUCGCGGUAUUUUAAUGAAUUUGUUUGCGCAAAAUCGUGAGCAAUUCAUAGCAAAGUGCGUACGUGACAGAAGUAUAAAACAAAUCAAACAAGUUUAAUUCAAAUUUCACAUAUUGUAUGUCAAACACAAUAAAUAUCUGACCAACUUGAUAGAAGAGCUCAUCUGCCAUGAACAUGCAGCAACCAUUAGUGCAAACUGUAAAAUUAGGUCAUAGAAAAUUCAAGGCUAAAAUAUGGUUUUAGUCCCUGCAAAUAUGUCUCGUUUUGGUUUUAGUCUCUGUAAAAAGAAAAUUUUGUUUUUGGUCCCUGCUAAAUAAUUUGUUUUUGAAAAUAGUCCCUAGCCCCACUUUUGUGAUGAUUUGCAUACGUGUUACAUUAUAACUGAACCAAUUUUGUAGUUUUUGGUCCCUGCAAAAUAUUUUGUUUUUAAAAAAGGUCCUUGAAUUUUUUUUUUGUUUUUGAAAUUUUUUGCAGGGACCAAAAACAAAAAAUUUUGUUUACAGGGACUAAAACCAAAACGAGGCAUAUUUGCAGGGGCUAAAACCAUAUUUUAGCCAAAAUUCAAAUGCAUAGUAGUGUGUACCACUACCAACCUGGAUGUUGUGCAGGGGCAGCUAAGAAGCUUAUAGUAAAAUGGUCAUAUAGAGAUUAAGGUUCUUGUAUAUGCAAAAACAAUGAUUAUAAAGAGUCAUAUAUUAUAUAUAGGCUUAAAUAAGUAAAAGGUCUCUGUAAGUUGGCGCAUUUUUGGUUUUAGUCCCUGUAAGUUUUUUUGUUGCGAGACAAACCCUGUAUUUACCAAACGUUUUGGAUCUAGUCCCUGCCGUCCAAUUCCGUGAAAAAAUGAUGACCUUGCUAACGGAGCAAUACGUGGCACUUCGUGAGUUGGCACUAGUUGAUGACUGGGGUUAAUAUAGGGACUAAAACCAAAAAUGCAAUUUAACAUAGGGACUAAUUUAAAAAAACGUAAUCAUCAAUUUUUAAAUUUUAAAAACCAGUCUUUCCUUCUUCUUCCUCUCUCUGUUCUUUCCUUCUUCUUCCUCUAUUUGUUAGUUCUUUAAUUGCUUGUGCCCAAAAACUCAAACCUCAUUUCCUUCAACGAUGUCUUCUCAUUCCAUUUCUCAUUCAUCAUCAAAUGAGUUGCCUAUAAGUGCCAAUUACUUCUUUAAGUUCUGCUUCAUUUGUUCCUCCUUGAGUCUCCAAAAGCAAAUCAGUGAUAAUUACUUCCAUUUGUUUCCCCUCGCGCACCUUAAUCUUAGCCCAUCCAACCAAGUUUGUGUCACCAAAAUCCUCCUUAUCACCAGGCCUUUUCCCAUUAAGAAGUUCCAUCAUUACAACACCAAAUGAAUAAACAUCACCCUUUGCAGUGCACCUGAAACUUUGGUAAUACUUUGGUGGAACAUAUCCAGGUGUUCCUGCUAGUGUGCUUACACUGAGAUGUGUAUCAAGUGCACUUAUUAGUCUUGCCAUUCCGAAAUCCAAGACUCUUGACUCCAUUUCAUUGUCAAGUAAUACAUUGCUUGACUUCAUGUCUUUGUGUAUGAUGUGAGGGAUGCAAUUAUGAUGCAGAAAACAAAGUCCUUUAGCAGCACCUCUUGCAAUCUUCUUCCUUUCUUCCCAUGUUAAAAUUCGUCGAUCACAUGUCUUUAUUCUUCUGUGGAGCAUCUCUUCUAGGCUUCCAUAUUCCAUGUAUUCAUAAACAAGUAGCCUCUCUUCUCCUACUUUGCAGUAUCCCAAUAAAGGGACAAGGUUUUUAUACUUGAUUUUUUCUAAGGUUUCCAUCUUAGCCAUGAAUUCUCUAUCACCUUGGCAACUCAGUCGAAUGAGCUUCUUUAUCGCGACACAUGUUCCGUCUUUGAGUGUGGCCUUAAACACUUCACCAAAACCACCACAACCAAUGAGGCUUGCUGCUGAGAAGCCAUUGGUUGCUUCAAUCAACUGUGAGAAUUUAAGCUUUCUCAAUUACCUCUGAAAUGUUGCAAUAUUAAUGCAUAAUGGCUCUUUCUCUUUAUCAAUUUUCCAUGUUGUAGCAGCAUGACAUGCGAAUUGGAGAUGAACAUCCUCAUAAUUUUUCUACAACCACAUAUUGACAACUCAUUUGAUGAUGAUUGACAAAUGGAAUGAGAAUACAUUGUUCCAUGAAAUGAGUUUUUGGUGUUAGGGCGCAAAGCUAUCGAAGGGUGGGAAUGGCAGAAAUGAAGAAGAGAGAAAUAACAUAGUGAGGAAGAAGGUGGAAAUAAUAAGUUUUAAAAUUCAAAUUUUGAUGAUUAUGUUUUUUAUUUUCAUCCCUAUGUAAAUUUGCAUUUUUGGUUUUAGUCUCUCUAAUAACCAAUUGCCAACUCAUCAUAUGCCACAUAUUAGUCCGUUAGCCAGCGAAGCGUUUUUUUGACGGAAACGGACGGCGGGGACGAAUGUCAAAAUGUUAAGUAAAUACAGGGGUUGUUUCGCAACAAAAAAAGAUACAGGAACUAAAACAAAAAAUGCGCGAACUUACAGGGACCUUUUUCUUAUUUAAGCCUUAUAUAUAUAUUGUUCAUCUUCAAAAUGUCACGACGACAACGUAAAUUAAUGCGGCACUGCAAAAAUAAUAUCACUAAACACAAACUGAAACAAAUUUCUAGGGAGAUAUUCCUGAUGGCAGUUGCAUCGUUCAAGACAGAAGUAAUUGUUCUUUAACUUAUUUUCUAAAUACGCAUACAAUUGUAAAACACAGUCAAAUUUUAUUGAGUGAAAUUAUGGUUGGAACGUGAUGGAGAUUUCCAUUCCUCCAAUUCUCUUCGUACACCUCUCUUGUUGUACCCAAUUUCUUCGAAGGCCUUUAGGGAUGGUGCUGUUCGUUCAACGGUGUUACUGCCAAUACAAAAGAUUAACAGUGUUCAAUAAAAUCCUAUAUGUUAGGAAACAAAGUGCUGAAGAAGAAAAAUAAGCACAAUCACAAUAUAAGAAUAUAAUGUUAGGAAACAUGGUAUCCAUGAAAAGAAGGAGAGAAAACUAAGAAACUCUUUCUAUUGAUGAAAAUGGAAUAUUACAAAAUGAGAAAAGUACCCUCUAAUGGGGUGGUUACAAGUUAUUUAUACUACUCUCUACUAGGACUAAUAUGCUACUAAUCUAUAUCUCUAAUAGUCCCCCUCAAGUUGGAAGGUGUUCAAAACACUUCCAACUUGAAAUGAGAAAAUACAAGGAAAGAUGCCAGAAAUACAUUGGCCAAGAACAUAGCAACAAUCAAAGGCUUAUCCAACAAGAGGAAACCACAACUCAAGGUGUAAUCACCUUGGAGGAAGAAGCAGCAAACCAACGCUUAACCACCAUCCGGUAGAAGCCAAUCAUCAACAAAGCCUUAAAAGGCACAAUGCUUAACCAUCAAGAGUUCUCAAUAACUCAAGACAGAAGCACAAGAAGAAGAAGAAAAUGACGCUUAACCAUCCUUGGACAGAAGCACAACGACGCUUAACCAUUCAUGACAGAAGCUUAUCAACAUAGCUUAACCAUCAUGAACAGAAGCACAAGACAAGAAGAGUAAGGAUAUCUAAAAUCAAUGAUGAUCUCCAAAAGAAAAAGUGCAAGGAAGGGCCAAAGUUUACAAUGGAAGGAGGUCAUAUGUUGAACAAACUGCACAUCAAAGGUACCAUGAAGCAACAAGACCAAGGUUCCAAAGUUAAAAAAGAGAUGCGCUCCAAUGCCGAGCCGAGACAAGAAAAACCAAAUGCAAGCCAAUAGAGAUGCAUAGCCAUGUGAGGUGUCUUCAAACCAUAGAAAACAAAUCCAUGUUGAUGCAUUCAAACCAUAGGCCAACAAAUCAAUACUUCCAACAAUGAAGCUUAAGAAAAUACCAACAUAGCCAAAACCAGAAAAAAAAAAAUGCAGCAGUAAUGCUGCACAAAAUAAAACCAAAAUGCAGCUAAGAGACAUCAAAAUGAACUCAAGAAGAUGCUUUAACGGUCUGCCCAAAAAUUCAUCAACGAUCCAGGAACAAUCCCAUGCUUCAGAUAUCAAACCAAGGCUUCCAAAAACGAUCCUAAGCCAUCAAGAAAUAAAUCCAUAGCCAAUGAACAAAAUGCAGUAGCAAUAUGAAGCACUGUACUGUGUUGGAAUAGCAUGCAACACUAACAAAAUGCCUAAUCAGCCUCACAAUUUCAUUUGUUCCUUUCACACACAAGAAUAUAGAGAAACCAUCUGAACAGCUUGGAGUGUACUAAAGGCUUCUUCAAUUACUAUUCAAAAAAUGCUUGACCAUAUCAGAUCCAACACCAUGAUAAGCAAUCAAAUGCCAAACAAAACUUAGCCCACCAGUAUGCAAUAUCUAUAAGACUACCAAGUGUGAUAGCAACACCAUAAAAGAAACAAAGAAGUAUGCCAAAACCAAUGAUAUCCAAAGAGAAUGUAGAACAAACAACCAAGCUGUAAUUGGAUCCCAAAGAAUGCAUCAAAAAAACUAUACGUGAAAGGAAGAUCCUUACAUAACACUGCAACAACAUAGCCAUACACAUAAGUCUGGGUCCGCCAAUCUUCAAUCAUAAUAUAAGAGUACCUUAACAUGAACUGCUCCAAAAAUGUAGUAGUGAUGAAGAGGUUCACAAGAAAAUGCACGCAUAGACCAAUAACGUCAUGCAGCAGUCAACAACAGCACCUCAAAGCAAGUCCAAUGCAAUGUUGGAUCAGAACAAAUUGCAGUGUUACCAACAACCAUCACCAUCAAACUGAACGUAAUAUGCAAUAAGGACCAAAAAACACCAAAAUAUCAAGGUAAUAGAAUCCAACUCUAUCUGCACCACAUGCACAAUUGUAUACAACCAGAGAAAAUGAACUAAUUGCAGCCUUGUCUAAAUAGCAGAACAUAGAACUUCAUCAAAAGAAUCAUGAACCAAGAAUCAAUAUGUUUGCAGUGAGGACUUGCUACAAACAUCUUGUGAGCACAAUAGUCAUAAACUGCAGUUACAAUAAAACUCGCUUAUGAGAAACCGAAUUCUCAAUACAAUACAAUAAUGAAACAGGGAAGAAGAUGAAAUAUCAACGACACAUAGAAUCAAUGCGAAAAAGACGACUCUGAGCCGAAUCGAAAAUUUUAAUGAAGAGGAAUCGCAAAAAAAAAUAAAAUUGAAUCACGGAUUCGAAUCGAAACUGGAAAUUGCGAUCGAGUAAGAAUUCGAUCAAGACUUUUGAAUCACGUGGGAAAUUGAACCAAAACUAACAGAACAAAGAAGAACGAACAAAGAAAAUUGAUCGAGAGAGAAAAGGAAAUCGCCAUUGUAACUGAAUCGCAAACCCUAAGAUUUGGGAAAAAGACACAAACGGAAUCACGAAGCAAUCGAUCGAACAAAAAGAUGUAAAAGAAUCGAAUGAAAUUGAGAUGCAGAUCAAAAGAGAAAUCGAUCGAACAAAUCAAUAACAGAAAAACGAUUCGAGUACAAGACAAAGGAAAAUGAAGAAAAUGAAGUGAUAAAAGAGAAAAAUCAGAACGAAGAAGAAAAGGAAAACAACACGAGAAAAAUGAACUUUUCUCGAGAAAAUGCAGCGGAAAAAUUGUUCAAGGUGGAUACCAAUCAUGCUCUGAUACCAUGUUAGGAAACAUGGUAUCCAUGGAAAGAAGGAGAGAAAACUAAGAAACUCUUUCUAUUGAUGAAAAUGGAAUAUUACAAAAUGAGAAAAGUACCCUCUAAUGGGGUGGUUACAAGUUAUUUAUACUACUCUCUACUAGGACUAAUAUGCUAAUAAUCUAUAUCUCUAAUAUAUAACGUGGAAACUUUAAAACUGGAUAAAAAACCACGACCGUUGUCUAAACCGACAACCAGAAAAUGAUUACUAUGGGAUUUUUUUUACAACACAUAGACUUCUCUCACUCUCACCCCAAUGCUCCAGUACAAUCAUACUCUCACAAAGCAAAUAUUUAAACUAAGUCAGAUAUAAGCUUAAAGUGCUACUGACUGGUGCAUCUACAAACAAAGAACCUAGGUCCAAUAUAUAGUCAUGGUCCUCCCAUUGCUUCACCACACUAAGCGAUGUAGGACUUUUCCAAUAGCAAAUAUUUUUUAACCUCCUUAUUUAUUUAAGAAACUUGACAAUCAAACCCAACAAUCUCCACCUUGAUUGUACGAGUUUCAUCUUUCGCUUCCAUUGUUUAUACUGACAAUCAUACUCCACCAUAAAGAGUAUACUUCACUUGAAACUAGACCUUUCCAAGAAUUUCUCCACGUCAAAACCUUGCUGAAAGAUUACGGUGCAACUCCCAUGUUGGAUUUCAGGAAGUUCUUCAGCCAUCGACACAUCUCACCACACACCUUGCAUUAAUUAAUUUCUUAAACAAUUUAUAAUUAAUUUGUAUCUCGUUUAAAGACUACAAAAUUUCAUUGUGAAGGUUCUUAUCAUGUUCUAGUCAUGCCUACAAAAUUAGGGAACUAAAUUUGACUUGUGAGUAUACGCUUACGCGGAACAAAAUUUCAAUUUUGCAUGUUUUGAUUGAAAAAUCAAAAUAAAUUUAAACGACUUCGAAAUGCAAUGAAACUUUACAGAUCCGUUUUAUGUAUUUUUUUAUAGAUGUCUAUGCAAAUAAUGAGCUCAAAAUUCGAUUUAUAGGUCGAGAUUUCCAUUGUUUUGUUUUUUGAGCUUUUGACACUUUAAAAAUUCAUAAUUAAUUUGUCGUAUGUCGAAAAUUUAUAUAUUUUUAGUGUAAAGCCAUAUUUUAACAUUCUUAACUCGCCUCUAACAAAUCAUGAAAAAAAUUGAAUCUCUCGGUUUCUUUUUUGGACUUCGCAUAUAUUACAGAGUUAUAAAUAAUAAAAAUCUUGAGUUACAUGGUAAGAAUACAUGUUAUUUAAUUACAGGGCCAAUUUUCAGACUUCACGUAUAUUAUAUGAUCAAUUUCAAUUAAUAAUCUUAUUUUAAAUUGUACUUUUGUUGACUAAAUGAUAAAACCUAUUUUAUUUCGAUUUUUUUAAUUAAAAUUAAAAUUAAAAAAAAAGUUUCAAUUUAUGAUUGUUGAUAUAUUAUGUCGCAUGUGAAUUUGCGAUAAAUUUUUUGCCCAAUCUCCAUAAAUUUCCAGACUCCGCCACUGUAUAGUACCUACUCAAAGAAUACUUGUUAUCAUCCCUAAUUGUGCGCUAACACUCCUCAAUUCAAAAUGACAUAAUAGCAUGCUUGUUGAGGAAAAAUUAUUGCCUUUAUUAUAACAAAAUUAGUUAAUUUUUUUUUUGAGGAAAACUGAAUUAGUUAGUGAAAAUUAAGUAAAAGACUAUGAAGAUAAUUUAAAUUUAUACAAAUCGUCACUUGACCAAUCUUAUUGCAAUAAAUUAAUAAAACGUCAUUUCAAAAAGAUUUGUGGCUGAUCCUUAAAAAAUAAAAUCAUUCCGUGACAAUUUUUUUUAUUCUUUUUCAAAUCUUUACUCUAAAUCUUCAUCUGUCACACACAACUAACUCAAACAUCCAUAGACGUGCAAUCAAUCUCAAUGAAAGAUUAGACUACAGGGUCUUUUAUUAAUACUCUUUGUGUACACAAAUUGAAUUCACUUAAAUGUUGUUUAAAAUUCUAAUUUUAGAGUUUACAUGAAAUGAAAGAACAUAUGUUGACUCACUUAUUGUAACCUUACAUGAAAUAAGACAACAUAUAUGUAUGCAUUGUUUUAAAAACAUUGAAGAUAAACUGAAUUUACGUAGGGUAUAUAAACUGAGUUUGCAAAUUAUACAACUCUACGUAAAUUAAGAUAGAGAAUGGAGAGAGAAAAAGGAAGAUAGAGAAUAAGAAGAUAAUGUGAGUAUGAGAGAGAAAGUUGUUAAAAUGUUUUUUUAAAGAAAAAAGUUGUUAAAAUGUUGUCACAAAGUGGAUGUACAAAUAUCAUUUCUCUAUAUAAAAUAUACAAAAUAUAUGGAGGAUUAUUGAUAAAAAAAAACAUGGGGAUUAAUUAUUGCUAAGAAUAAAUUAUUUUGAAAUACUCCCCUAUUUUUUUUUUUAAAUUCUCUUGACCAAAUUUUUCUUUUUUUAAAAUUCAUUGAAAUAAACCAAAAACAAAUACUCCAUUUCUAACAAAAAUAUAGACAUAAAGAGGAUCAAAGCGUCAAAUAGUCUUGCCCUCAAUUUUUUUUACUUUUAGAACAUCUUUUGUUUAUGUUUUCGUUACAAAGAGUAUGCAAAAUUAGACUGACUUAUUUUAAUUCAUUUAUAUAUAAUAUAUGGUAGUAUUUGUGAUAAUGUUUGUUAGAACCUAUGAAAAUAAUUUAUAACAUCUAAGUUUAGUUCCAUAAUUUUACAGAAUAGUUUAUAGAAACAACUUAAAAAUAUAUUAAAUAUAAAUGUUUUUUUUUUGUUUUAAAAAAGUAUAUAGAAAUAUUUAUAUUGAUAAGCUUAUAAUAUAUAUAUAUUAUGAAGUAAAAACAUCCUUUGUAUAUUAUAAACGAUUAAUUAUUUUGUUUAUUCAAAUAUGACCUCCUAUAUUAUUUUUUUUUUUGUUGGAAAGACGUCUAAAAACUAAUCAUUUUUGGUGGUGGUCGGGGUUCAACCCAGUAUAUAUUAUGCAUUGUUCCUACCCACUGAGCUAAGCUCAUGAUGACCCAAAAACCAAUCAUUGAUACACGAUAUAUAUAUAUAUAUAUAUAUAUAUAUAUAUAUAUAUUGACAAAAAUAAAUGAUAUGCAUUCAUUCAAAUUGAUAGAGUUCAUCGAUACAAUACUAAUUCGAUAAAAAGAAAAAGAAUGAAUUUGCGAACAAACUCAUAACAUCCAUGUUAAUAUCAUAAAACAACAAAGUACAAAAACAUACUUAUAUGACUAUAUUCAAGUAUCCGGAAUACCCAUGUCUCUAGAUCUGCAACGUGGACGACGCAAAGUCAUAGAUUGAAUCUGCACUGGUCGAAGCGGAUAUGACAAUCUAAACCGAACAAAUACCUGCAUGAAACAAAUAAGACAAACAAUGUUGCACAAAGACGACGAACAAACCAAUGUCGCACUAUGACGGCGAAAUCACAAAAUAAAAAACAAAAUAGAUGUGAAAAUCACUUAUUUCAAUUAAAAGAAAAUAAAAAAGCGAGUUAGAUGGGUGAUUUAGGGUUAAAAACUGACUCUAAAACACCUCUACUUGAUAGAUGAGGGAGAAGAAACUAGAGUUUUGGUGACGGCUCACAAGAAAGAAAAAGAAAAGAGAAAUUUAUAUAACGAUAUAGGUAUCUCUAAGUAAAUUUGUUAAAAAAAAAAAGUGUCACUAAGUAAAACAUAGAUAAAAUAAAGAGAACCAAUAUGGAAAUAUAUAAAAAAAUGCAAACAAAUAGAAGACUAUAGAUAUGUUAAAUAAAUUUUUAGUUAUAAUUUAUUAAAUAAAAAUUUUAUUAAUUUAAUUUGUCAAAAAUAAAACCUUAUUAAUUUAAAUUGACUAAAAAAUGAGUGAUAAUGUGUCAACAAAAUUCACUAGAAUCCCUAGUCGUCACCCAUUUCUUCUUCUUGUCUAUUGAAGAUGAAUGAUUUAGGGUCAAUUCUAACCUAAAAUCACCCAUCCGAAUUGUUUUUCUUUCUUUUCUAGUUGAAUAAGUGAUUUCCAUAUAUUUUUUUAUUGUUCUUUCGUUUGUUUUUGUGAUUUCAUCGUCUUUGCAUGACUCUGUUUAUUUUGAUUUUCCAUCUUAAUGUCGUGUUUAUUUGAUUGAGGUUGAAAUAUUAGCUUUGAUUAGGUGCAAAUCCGAAGACAUGAGUAUUCCAGAGAUUUGAAUAUAGUCAGGUUUGUAGGCAUAAAUACUUUGCAGUUUUAUGUUAACAUGAAUGUUGUGAUUUAUCCUUUUUGUUUUUAGAGACUUUAAAUUUAUAUUAUAUCGAUAUACUCUAUAAAUUAAAAUGAAUGAAUAUCGUUUAUUUUUUUUAAAAAAAGUCAGCAGAAUUAAAAUACUAUGAUUUGCUAAUUUGCUCAUUCACCUAUAUUGUUUAGUUGGUUUAUAUUAGUAAGUUGGAAUAUAUUAUUAUCCAUGAGAUCAUAUGGUUUACGUACUGAUUUAUCUUAUAUUAUUUUUUUUGAAAUAAUUUACAUUAUAUUACUAAAAAAAUGGAAUCGUAUUGGUGGCAUAUGAACUGGGACCGUCAUUGCUGUAUUAUCAUUGCUAUAUGUAGUUUUUAUUUCAUAUGCUUGGGCCUAUAUUAUAUGGUCAGACUGUAUUAUAUUUGGAUCUUCUUACAGGUAAGCUGACUUUUAUAAAAUUUGAAUCAUUAAGAAGGUAACGUUUUCCAUAGGACAAACAUGAGUUACUAUAAUUAGACAUUAUCAUUCCUUUGUUUUUUUCGGAUAAUUUUUUAUAAAUUCUUCUUAUUUCACAUAUAAUAUUUUUUACAUUUCCCUCCCUCUCUACCUCCCUAUAAAUAGCUUGCCAAUUCCAUCGUUUCCUCAUACCAAGUUCAAUAAUCAAAAAUCAUCAUCCAAUAAUAAGAUGAAGAUUAUUCACAUAGUUUUUCUUUUCUUUUUUCUUUCAUUCACUACUUCCCAAGCUUCUGUCAAUGAUUUUUGUGUAGCAGAUUUAAAGGCUCCAGAUACCCCUUCAGGCUAUCAGUGCAAACCCCUAGCAAAUAUCACAUCAGACGAUUUUGUCUUUCAUGGCUUCGUAGCCGGAAACACCAACAACUCUUUCAACGCUGCACUUACCUCCGCAUUCGUCACUGAAUUUCCAGGCCUUAACGGACUAGGAAUCUCAGCAGCGCGGUUAGACAUAGCCGAAAAUGGUUCAAUUCCAAUGCAUACUCAUCCCGGUGCUACCGAAUUAUUGAUAAUAGUUCAAGGUGAAAUAACCGCUGGAUUUCUGACACCUACCUCAGUUUAUUCUAAGACGUUGAAACCGGGUGAUCUUAUGGUUUUUCCACAGGGGAUGUUGCAUUUUCAAAUUAACACUGGUAAGGGAAAAGCUACUGCUUUUCUUACAUUUAGUAGUGCUAACCCUGGUGCUCAAUUACUUGAUCUUCUUUUGUUUUCGAAUAAUUUACCUUCUGAAUUGGUGGCACAAACUACUUUCCUUGAUCUUGCACAAGUGCAGAAGCUAAAGGCACGUUUUGGUGGAAGAGGGUAGGGAUAU
RNAcentral lists this long non-coding RNA (12195 nucleotides) under Medicago truncatula (barrel medic). RNAcentral describes it as "long non-coding RNA (MTRU_LNC005937)". The record is from RNAcentral. Lineage: Eukaryota; Viridiplantae; Streptophyta; Magnoliopsida; Fabales; Fabaceae.